GACGAACGCUGGCGGCGUGCUUAACACAUGCAAGUCGAACGGAAAGGCCCUGCUUUUGUGGGGUGCUCGAGUGGCGAACGGGUGAGUAACACGUGAGUAACCUGCCCUUGACUUUGGGAUAACUUCAGGAAACUGGGGCUAAUACCGGAUAGGAGCUCCUGCUGCAUGGUGGGGGUUGGAAAGUUUCGGCGGUUGGGGAUGGACUCGCGGCUUAUCAGCUUGUUGGUGGGGUAGUGGCUUACCAAGGCUUUGACGGGUAGCCGGCCUGAGAGGGUGACCGGCGACAUUGGGACUGAGAUACGGACCAGACUGCUACGGGAGGCAGCAGUGGGGAAUAUUGCACAAUGGGCGGAAGCCUGAGGCAGCAACGCCGCGUGCGGGAUGACGGCCUUCGGGUUGUGAACCGCUUUCGCCUGUGACGAAGCGUGAGUGACGGUAAUGGGUAAAGAAGCACCGGCUAACUACGUG
RNAcentral lists this ribosomal RNA (468 nucleotides) under uncultured bacterium. RNAcentral's name for it is "partial 16S ribosomal RNA". It matches the Rfam family "Bacterial small subunit ribosomal RNA", at positions 28 to 507 of the family's 1533-position model. The record is from RNAcentral.